Non-coding RNA from Pelobates cultripes (western spadefoot toad), 846 nucleotides. Lineage: Eukaryota; Metazoa; Chordata; Amphibia; Anura; Pelobatidae. The record is from the annotation of a GenBank genome assembly.
CAGAAAACUUUAUUUAGUGCACAAGAUACAGUUUAGCAAUGUUGUCUUGAAGUGAAGAUCCAAAAAAAAUAUAAAACACCCCCACAAACAAAACAUUUGCUGUAAUAUCCCACAAUGCACUAGAAGUGCUAUAUAUAACCUAAAGUGCAAAAAAAAAGCUUCUCAAAGCUUUGUGAAUAAAUACAUAAAUAAAAAAACAAGGGAUAUUUCUGAUUUUUGCAGUAGAGAAAAAAUGUAAAUAAAAAUGUUCAGAUAUUUAGAUUCUCAAUUCUCUUUAGGUGCAGAAAGAGCUGUGGAAAAAUAAAUGAGCUUUUUCCCAUAAAAUAUGUUCACAUAUGCUGCAAAGAAAUCAGUGAUCUAUCCAUUGUAGUCCAAGUUGAUGCAUAAUUAUUAAAUAAAAUAAAGCCACUUACAAAAAAAAACCAAAAAAACCCACAAAUGGAAUCUAUAAACUUUCAUUCUGUUGUGUGUGAAGCAUUGGAUUGGCUGAAAUAAUCAACAUUGAUGAUCUCAGCCAGGGGAAUGGGAUAGCAGCACAUAAACCAGUGUGACAAGAGCUCAAAGUUAAAUAUGUCAAUUUUAUUUUUAAUAAAUAAUAAUAAAAAAAUUAAAUAUAUAUAUAUAUAUAUAAAUGAAAACGACAUGUAUAUUCCUAACAUAGCCAUAGCGUUCAUUUAAAAGAACAACUAGAGUCCCUUAUAAUAAAACCCAGCUAUGGACAAUGAUCGUGGUAGAAACUAGAUCGAUCCCUUCUGCAAUCUUGAGAUUAAAUGCCAAACUAUAUACUGAAAGACACUCGAGGCAUUAUAAACACUUUACCACAAUUAAGUGGUUAUGGUGUGUGGA